UGCCUAACACAUGCAAGUCGAACGAACUCUGGUAUUGAUUGGUGCUUGCAUCAUGAUUUACAUUUGAGUGAGUGGCGAACUGGUGAGUAACACGUGGGAAACCUGCCCAGAAGCGGGGGAUAACACCUGGAAACAGAUGCUAAUACCGCAUAACAACUUGGACCGCAUGGUCCGAGUUUGAAAGAUGGCUUCGGCUAUCACUUUUGGAUGGUCCCGCGGCGUAUUAGCUAGAUGGUGGGGUAACGGCUCACCAUGGCAAUGAUACGUAGCCGACCUGAGAGGGUAAUCGGCCACAUUGGGACUGAGACACGGCCCAAACUCCUACGGGAGGCAGCAGUAGGGAAUCUUCCACAAUGGACGAAAGUCUGAUGGAGCAACGCCGCGUGAGUGAAGAAGGGUUUCGGCUCGUAAAACUCUGUUGUUAAAGAAGAACAUAUCUGAGAGUAACUGUUCAGGUAUUGACG
RNAcentral lists this ribosomal RNA (464 nucleotides) under Lactiplantibacillus plantarum. RNAcentral's name for it is "bacterial SSU rRNA". It matches the Rfam family "Bacterial small subunit ribosomal RNA", at positions 45 to 474 of the family's 1533-position model. Lineage: Bacteria; Bacillati; Bacillota; Bacilli; Lactobacillales; Lactobacillaceae. The record is from RNAcentral.